CUAUCAGAGGGGAAUAACAGUGAGAAAUCACUGCUAAUACCGCAUAAGCUGUGAGUAUCGCAUGAUACAAGCAGAAAAGGAGCAAUCCGCUGAUAGAUGAGCUUGCGUCUGAUUAGUUAGUUGGCGAGGUAACGGCCCACCAAGACGAUGAUCAGUAGCCGGACUGAGAGGUUGAACGGCCACAUUGGGACUGAGAUACGGCCCAGACUCCUACGGGAGGCAGCAGUCGGGAAUAUUGCGCAAUGGAGGAAACUCUGACGCAGUGACGCCGCGUGCAGGAAGAAGGUUUUCGGAUUGUAAACUGCUUUAGACAGGGAAGAAGAAGUGACAGUACCUGUAGAAUAAGCUCCGGCUAACUACGUGCCAGCAGCCGCGGUAAUACGUAGGGAGCAAGCGUUAUCCGGAUUUAUUGGGUGUAAAGGGUGCGUAGAUGGAUAUGCAAGUUGGUUGUGAAAUACCUCGGCUUAACUGAGGAACUGCAACCAAAACUGUAAAUCCUGAGUACUGGAGGGGAAAGCGGAAUUCCUAGUGUAGCGGUGAAAUGCGUAGAUAUUAGGAGGAACACCAGUGGCGAAGGCGACUUUCUGGACAGUAACUGACGUUGAGGCACGAAAGUGUGGGGAGCAAACAGGAUUAGAUACCCUGGUAGUCCACACCGUAAACGAUGGAUACUAGGUGUAGGGGAUGAAUA
Molecule: ribosomal RNA, 691 nt
Filed under: uncultured bacterium
Lineage: Bacteria
Description: bacterial SSU rRNA
Rfam family: Bacterial small subunit ribosomal RNA
Source: RNAcentral